This 85-nucleotide non-coding RNA is filed under the name unclassified sequences. The record is from RNAcentral.
UAAUAUUUGCCACCGGGUAAAUAAGAUAGUGUUUAGGUAUAUUCCAGUAGGUCAUAGAAGGAAUAUGUUUAAGCACUUUUUUGAU